This 261-nucleotide ribosomal RNA is filed under the name uncultured archaeon. Its description in RNAcentral is "partial 16S ribosomal RNA". It matches the Rfam family "Archaeal small subunit ribosomal RNA", at positions 748 to 1009 of the family's 1478-position model. The record is from RNAcentral.
CAGCCGUAAACUAUGCGCGUUAGGUGUAUCGGUGACCACGAGUUACCGAGGUGCCGAAGGGAAACCGUGAAACGUGCCGCCUGGGAAGUACGGUCGCAAGGCUGAAACUUAAAGGAAUUGGCGGGGGAGCACCACAACAGGUGGAGCCUGCGGUUUAAUUGGACUCAACGCCGGGAAUCUCACCGGAUAGGACAGCAGAAUGAUUGCCGGGCUGAAGACCCUGCAUGACUAGCUGAGAGGAGGUGCAUGGCGUAGACGUCU